Amphiprion ocellaris (clown anemonefish) is the source of this 783-nucleotide long non-coding RNA. RefSeq lists it as uncharacterized. The transcript has 4 exons. Lineage: Eukaryota; Metazoa; Chordata; Actinopteri; Pomacentridae. The record is from RefSeq and is a predicted model, not a curated record.
AGAGCAGUCAUUGGUCAGACCAUAGAUACUACAGAAGACAGCGCGCUUGCGGAUCUAGUCUGCUGUAUAUAUCUAUGGUCGGCACGUCUGGUAGCAUCUCUGGCUGCUGUUGACCUUGUUUUUGGAGUAAAACACGGUGGAAGCUGAAUUAGUGAGGAUGACUCCUGCUCCUGUCAUCUCUAAGCUCCUCACACAUCUUUACCUGCACAUGAGGAAAAUCACUCCUGUAGAAUGCAGUGGUUCAUCAGAACCUCUGGGGAUGUCCUGUGGAUUCUGUGGGUCCUGUGGGUUGCAGGGUGGGUCCUACCUAGACCAGGCUGAUCCUGGACCAUCCCACAGAUGCUCCAUCAGAUGUGGAUGUGGGGAGUGUGGAACCCAGAUGCACAAUGAGGGACGUCUGCAGCGACUGAGAAAGAGUCUCACCACAUCCUGACAUGAGGAAAAAGACUUUAUUGAAGACUACAAUGAGAAAAACUAUCCAGACAGCAGACGGCUGCAUUCAAGGUGAGCUCUGAACAUUUGAUCUGGAACAGGAAUUCAAUAACGGCAGCAUGAGCUUCAUUUCAGUCUGUAGCUGCUGAAUUCAUGGAUGAAUCAUCUGGCACUAGAGAGGAAGACCUUCAAACAUCCACGUCAGCUGAUGGAGGUCCAAGAGUCUCACCCAACAAACAACCUACAGAGUGAAGACCUCCAAUCUGAUUGGACGGCCUCCUAUUCAGCCACUUGUGAACAAAUGCCUCUAAGUUGAUUUGUUUUCUAAAAUAAAUCUAGUUUGAGUCCUAA